CUGAGAAGCAGAGAUUUUGAAGAUCAAUGACCUCAGCUGCCUCAGUCCAAGUGUUGUCCCAUCUCCUGGUUGCUUCCAAGGUCCCCUCGGUGGGUUUCCAAACAUCCUUGGGCUCUGUCAGUAAGUCCUACCCCCCCCUGUUGUCUCCAGACAGAGCUUUGAUAGCUACAUAUGUCUUUUCCCCAUCUCUACUCCUCUUACAUUGGGAGGCUAGCCUGGCUUGCCUCUGAAGGUUCUAGCUUUGCUGGCAGCUGUCUUUCUUAUUUACUGGAACCUUAUGAUUGAAUUUGAAUAUGAUUCUAUGAUUGAAGUCACCUACCAUAGCUUUUCAUUGGACUUCUUUAUCAUUGUUUGAUCAGGGCUUGGUCGCUAUUGUGAGAAGGAUUGAGCAGAGCAGAGUUAUGAAGCAAACAACGGAGAUACAUCAAUUAAGGAAAAAGAGCAAUCCAACAUACUUCUGAGAACCCUGGAUCCUGGGUCAGAGAAUUCUGGCUCUGCCAAUGAAUAACGAUAUGGCAUCUGCAGAGUCUCUUCUUGGACACUACCGGCACUUUUGGGGAAGGCCUUCAUCAUCUCAUGCCUGAACUACUGAAAUAGCCUUCUGGUUGAUCUCCUUCCCUCAAGUCUUUGCUCAAAAGUCGCCAAAGAGAUCUUCCUAAAGUGCAAGCCUGACCAUGUCACUUCUCCACCCAUCCCAUACCCACCCA
Molecule: non-coding RNA, 707 nt
Organism: Phascolarctos cinereus (koala)
Lineage: Eukaryota; Metazoa; Chordata; Mammalia; Diprotodontia; Phascolarctidae
Source: RefSeq, a predicted model, not a curated record